UCUUAGUGGCGAACGGGUGAGUAACGCGUAGGCAACCUGCCCUUUAGACGGGGACAACAUUCCGAAAGGAGUGCUAAUACCGGAUGUGAUCAUCGUGCCGCAUGGCAGGAUGAAGAAAGAUGGCCUCUCGAAGCAAGCUAUCGCUAAAGGAUGGGCCUGCGUCUGAUUAGCUAGUUGGUAGUGUAACGGACUACCAAGGCGAUGAUCAGUAGCCGGUCUGAGAGGAUGAACGGCCACAUUGGGACUGAGACACGGCCCAAACUCCUACGGGAGGCAGCAGUGGGGAAUCUUCCGCAAUGGACGAAAGUCUGACGGAGCAACGCCGCGUGAGUGAUGAAGGAUUUCGGUCUGUAAAGCUCUGUUGUUUAUGACGAACGUGCAGUGUGUGAACAAUGCAUUGCAAUGACGGUAGUAAACGAGGAAGCCACGGCUAACUACGGUGCCAG
Molecule: ribosomal RNA, 446 nt
Filed under: Phascolarctobacterium faecium
Lineage: Bacteria; Bacillati; Bacillota; Negativicutes; Acidaminococcales; Acidaminococcaceae
Description: bacterial SSU rRNA
Rfam family: Bacterial small subunit ribosomal RNA
Source: RNAcentral